AGAAUGUAACACUGCUCCAAAGUCUUGGCAUGCCAGUGUUGCCUUUGUGUAUUUGAAGUAUUUCCACUGGUCUUCGGAGUCCUGUCAUCCACCAAUGUGGAAUCCACAACUCAGAGCUGUGACUAUCCUUUGGAAGGAACAGACAUGACAACCAUCGUCUUAACUGCACUGUGUCAGAGGAACCAUGAGUUUGGCAGCAAUCCAUACCCAGUGCAUGGAGGACCUUCAGAUGAAUUUUUUCUGCUACAGUUUAACUUGCCACGUUUAAUUUGCAAGUAUCAAGCAAUGUAGGUGGAGACCUGAGAUGACCCAGUGUGACUGCUUCCUUCCAUACUAGAACUGCUAUGCUGCUAUGCUGCUAAGGCUGGUGCCCAUGCUGAGGUGUAACAAGAACAAAUCCGUGGAGGUCCACCCAAUCUGUAUUCUGCCUAGUGUCCUUUGACCUACAUGGAGAUGCACAAUAUGAUGUGAAGAAAAUGCAUUCAGUCCACCAGUAGCAUAUUCCAGCAGCCAGAUCUUGCCUGCUACAGCACAUCCAUCUCUCACAGUUCAGGCAGGAAGGGCCACCCACUGCCUCAACUAACACCACUUUUUCAGAGGGCUUAUCUCAAUUUGGUAGCUGGUAUCAACUCUAUCAGAUACACAGCAAUUAACAGGUUCCGAAGGCCAAGAUCUGAGUUGCCUACUUAAUUCAAAGACU
Molecule: long non-coding RNA, 700 nt
Filed under: Gallus gallus (chicken)
Lineage: Eukaryota; Metazoa; Chordata; Aves; Galliformes; Phasianidae
Description: long non-coding RNA NONGGAT008320
Source: RNAcentral